GUCGAGAGGGAACACGAACUUACAUUUGGCAACAGUGCUGAAUUAAUGGCUGCACGAAAAAUCGCACUUAAAGUUACACAUAAACACAAGUCGUGUCCAACCAUGCUCUAUGGUCGUGUCCAUUAGACCUCUUCUAAGCAGGUCUGAGUCUUGAGCCAGUCAUCAUCAUCAACAUGCAAAAGUUAUCCUUGUCAUCACUCAUCAUAAGUAACUGUUGUUGCUGGUUGACAGCUUCAUCGGUGAACAGCAUCCUGCUGUAUUGGAGAGUCUCCAGCUGAUCCAUCCCUUCUUUCCCCCAUCUUUCAAUGUCCUUGUGUACACUCAUGUGAAUGUGUGUGUAUUCACGAGGACUCCCUUCAUCCUAUCCUGCCUGGCGUGUUCAACUUCAUCUCUUCAGAGUUCGGAUGGAUCACUUGGAAAUGCUUGGUGCUAUUUCCCGAGUUACAAGGUGUGAUUUGUGAGCCAGUCAUCAUCAUUAACAUACAAAAGUGUUCCUUGUCAUCACUCAUCAGCAGCAACUGGUGUCGACUUCAUCGGGGGAAAACAUCCUGCUGUAUUGGAGAGUCUCCGGCUGAUACAUCCCUUCUUUCCCCCUUCUUUCAAUGUCCUCGUGUACACUCAUGUGAAUGUGUUGUGUAUUCACGAGGACUCCCUUCCUCCUAUCCCACCUGGCGUGUUCAACUUCAUCUCUUCAGAGUUCGGAUGGAUCACUUGGAAAUGCUUGGCUGUAUUUCCCGAGCUACAAGGUAGGAAAAAUCUACCCGAUUUCCCAUUUGUGAGCCUUGCUUUUCGUUACAAAAUCUCGAAGGCUGUUGUAGAAGUUGCCCACCUCUCAUUGGCAGCAAAUGAGGAGAGUAAUCACAUGUAUAAUGAACGGACCGCAUUCAGAAUGUGGUCAACCCUGGGUCAUCAAUUAGGUGUUUCACGGGAACAGGGCGAACCUCGACACCAUCUUCUUCUUCGUUCAGUUGGGUUAGCAUAGUUUUCGAAAAAACUGUCUUGCCCCAUCAGGUCAACUUUUUAUGUUUGAAGUCUCAUUAGGAAUAACUUUUACCGUGAGUUUGAGUCAGCGCAAUUAUUUUACUUCAUGAUGCUUCCGAGAUUUUCAAACUCAUUUCACAUAAGUGUAUCAUUCAUGACUUUGCGUACGGCAUUUUUUCUUAUCGUAAUGGUUUUGGACUUUUCUGCAAUUCCUUGACACCUUCAGUGUUUCCGAUCCGACCGAUGAAAUCUUCGUGAAUUUUUUGUCAUGGGGUCGAUUGCUCGAUUUCAUUUUCUUUGACUGAAGUCAUACUUUGAAUUCGUUCAGAUUUUAUGAUUUCAUUCAUUACCCAAUUGACAUUUAAACCUGCAACUAACUGAUCUAGAAAUUUCAUUGAUACAUUUUUUUUCUACAUGAAAACCCAUCCUUGUGUUGUUUAAGGAACUUUUUUUUUCAAGGCUUUCAUUUCAACUACAUUUUGUUAAAUAUCGUUCACGCAUGAGAGAAACAGUCGAUCACAUGGGAAAUUGGUGAACGUCUCGAUGACACUUCGAAUUCCGUCAACGAAUCGAACCAAUGAACUGGGAAUAUAAUAAGAUGGUUUCCGCUCUCCGCGUUCAAUUUUAUGGUGCGCCGUUUGGGACUAUGGCCCGCUAGUUUGGCAAUGUAUGUUUUUAUUUUUAUCCGUGAGCUUAAUUUGUUCGUUGAAAUGUUCUCUAUCAAGUGACAAGUGACGUUCACAGAUGGUAGCACGUUUCGGACCGGAGUAGUAAAUAUUGAUUGGCAUGUCGAUUUGCAUUUAGAGGAGAGCAUCGAGACUAUUCUUCUUGUUUGUGAAAUUUAACAAACCCGUUCGUCUCCCAGCGACUGGUUUUUGAUUCUGUGGGACUGCUGAAUUGCGUCUUUUACCACUCUCGCAUUCUUCGUUUUCUGUCGCAGACGACAUUGUGUAAGUUGUACGCACGUGUAUAUCAUAACCUGUUGCGUGACAUUUAUCAUUGUGGUUACAGUGGCUAGAGCCAAUUCAAAUGGGUCAACUGCGAUUCAACAUUUGCUUUCUUAUUCAGGCGAAAUUGGGGCGUUUUUGGGGGUGGGGGGCUCAAUCAGCUCAGUAGGGCCGAUUCUACACCCUGCUUCAUUUUAUGGGAUUGAAUUCCCUGGUGCAAAUUCAAGCCGGUAAAAAGCGACAAACAGAAAGAACGAUAUCUUCAAUUGGAAAAUCAGAUACGCUUGAAGAGUGUAUUUUAUUACGACACCUCAAGCGAGAAUGGCUGAUAACUUGACUAAAAAUAGGGUAUUUUAUUUAAAUACUGAAUCGCAUGCAGGGUGGGUUGAUUGCUAUCAAUUCCAAGGUGAGGUAUGUUGUUUCAAGAGGGAAAAAAAAUAUAACGUUUACGUAACAAUUCAAGGUUAAAGAAUGUCAACUAUUUAUACUCUGACGGUCAAUGCUUGGGAUUGAAUGAAAUGCGUUUCUCAAACGCCUUAUCAGCCACCGGUUUUUCGACUCUUCAAAAUAAAAUAUUCCUCAAGUCCAAAAUAAAUGUUCGUCACGCCAAUUGAUAGAGAGGGCAUUGUUUCAAGAAACCUACGUGUGUCUCUAUUAAUUAAUUAAACCUGAAAUCAACUCGGAGUAAAUUUGACCUUGUUCUGUUGGCACCAUAAUCUGAGACCCAUAGGAUUGUAAUAAUUGAAAAGCGGCGGAGGCAUGCAUGGCGUAGAAUUUCUUUAGUUGGCGAUUGGCAACGGAUGUCAAAGGUAAUUUCUCUUUGGCUGCACUCACGAUGGAACAGCAAGCCGUCGCCACCGUAAUUGAUUGUGAUAGUAAAUAGAUUGAAAUUUAUGGGGAAAAAAAACUAUACAAUCGUGGUAUAAUAAAAAUCCAGGCAGAAAAUAAAGAAUUUAAAUAUUACCAAAAGCAAGGAAACUGAAGUAGACAAUGCCAUAGCUGCUAAUUUCGAAAUAAGUUUGACGCAGGGUCAAAGUCUCUACUAAAGUUUCUACUGGUAUAUGCGUGGCAUCAUUAUAUGUAAAGCUGUCGAGAAGGGAGUACGUAACUUAAUUUGCUUUUAACCGUUUUUUACUCGCCUAUUUCUUCUGUUUCUUCUUCAAUUGAUUAUCAAGAGUCAGGUAUAGGAAAAACAUUGAUCCUUAUUUAUUCAAAAAAGGCGCGGGAUAAAUUCUAACCUUUUUCCGCGCAUUAUUUUGUUUGUCGUUGGCAUUGCUGAAUAAUAUGCCCACGCCACCAUGUAUUGAACUGCCUAUACCAAAACCAAUUAUCUAAAAAUAGAGGACUUGAUUUACUUAUUGAAUAAAUGAUUUCCUGGUCCGGUUGAAACCUGUCUUGAUUUAGAUAACCAACAUUUUGAUUCAAGGUCAAAGAAAAACA
RNAcentral lists this long non-coding RNA (3368 nucleotides) under Daphnia pulicaria. Its description in RNAcentral is "uncharacterized LOC124350461, transcript variant X1". Lineage: Eukaryota; Metazoa; Arthropoda; Branchiopoda; Diplostraca; Daphniidae. The record is from RNAcentral.